CAGAUGAUGCCUCAGCUCCCGCGCUGGAGACUCAGCCUCAAGGUGAUGAAGAAGAUAUAGCUUCUCGUUAUCCUACUUUAUGGACUGAGCAAGUAAAGAGUAGACAGAACAAAACCAAUAAGAGCUCAGCAUCAUCAUGUGAUCAAGAACUUCAGUCAGCCCUGGAGGAAGCUAAGCAGCCCCAGAAAGACAAUGUGUUCAUUCCAGAGUGUGCUCAGGGUGGCCUCUACAAACCAGUGCAGUGCCAUCCUUCCACAGGGUACUGCUGGUGUGUUCUGGUGGAUACUGGACGUCCCAUCCCUGGUACAUCAACCAGGUAUGAACAACCUAAGUGUGAUAACAGUGCCAGAGCUCACCCAACCAAAACAAAGGAUUUGUACAAAGGACGCCAGCUUCAAGGU
This is a non-coding RNA of Leptosomus discolor (cuckoo roller), 401 nucleotides long. The record is from RefSeq and is a predicted model, not a curated record. NCBI's taxonomy places the organism in Eukaryota, Metazoa, Chordata, Aves, Leptosomiformes, Leptosomidae.